This 253-nucleotide ribosomal RNA is filed under the name uncultured bacterium. RNAcentral describes it as "partial 16S ribosomal RNA". It matches the Rfam family "Bacterial small subunit ribosomal RNA", at positions 524 to 776 of the family's 1533-position model. The record is from RNAcentral.
UACGAAGGGGGCUAGCGUUGCUCGGAAUCACUGGGCGUAAAGCGCACGUAGGCGGUUUGUUAAGUCAGGGGGGAAAUCCUGGAGCUCAACUCCAGAACUGCCUUUGAUACUGACGGUCUUGAGUUCGGGAGAGGUGAGUGGAACUGCGAGUGUAGAGGUGAAAUUCGUAGAUAUUCGCAAGAACACCAGUGGCGAAGGCGGCUCACUGGCCCGAUACUGACGCUGAGGUGCGAAAGCGUGGGGAGCAAACAGG